This 437-nucleotide ribosomal RNA is filed under the name uncultured Treponema sp. Its description in RNAcentral is "partial 16S ribosomal RNA". It matches the Rfam family "Bacterial small subunit ribosomal RNA", at positions 341 to 792 of the family's 1533-position model. The record is from RNAcentral. Lineage: Bacteria; Pseudomonadati; Spirochaetota; Spirochaetia; Treponematales; Treponemataceae.
ACGGGAGGCAGCAGUGAGGAAUAUUGGGCAAUGGGCGAAAGCCUGACCCAGCGACGCCGCGUGAGGGAAGAAGGUCUUCGGAUUGUAAACCUUAGUCAACAGGGAAGAAGCAAGUGACGGUACCUGUGGAGGAAGCCACGGCUAACUACGUGCCAGCAGCCGCGGUAACACGUAAGGUGCGAGCGUUGUUCGGAAUCAUUGGGCGUAAAGGGCAUGUAGGCGGUCUGUCAAGCCAGGCGUGAAAGCCAGGGGCUCAACCCCUGAACUGCGCUUGGAACUGGCGGACUGGAGUCGCUGAGGGGGAACCGGAAUUCCUGGUGUAGGGGUGAAAUCUGUAGAUAUCAGGAAGAACACCGAUGGCGAAGGCAGGUUUCCAGCAGACGACUGACGCUGAGGUGCGAAGGUGCGGGGAGCAAACAGGAUUAGAUACCCUGGUA